CAAUCGUCACAACGGCUUCCUGGCGUGGCGGUGAAACACAAUGGAGCA
This is a regulatory RNA element of Roseovarius tolerans, 48 nucleotides long. It matches the Rfam family "SAM/SAH riboswitch aptamer". The record is from Rfam. NCBI's taxonomy places the organism in Bacteria, Pseudomonadati, Pseudomonadota, Alphaproteobacteria, Rhodobacterales, Roseobacteraceae.